UGACUUUUGAAAUCGAAGACUUUAACACUUCUUGCAUGUCUAUGAAUUUUCUUCAUUAGAAUGCUGUAGUAGCUUAAAUUAGGUAAAUUAUCAACAAGUUUAAAAAAAAAUUAACGGAUCAGUUCAAGUUCUUUCUUGAAUUUGUGUAUUAUUAAUAUCUUAUGCAUCAUACAUGGAACUUCUGUUGUUCUUGAUUUCUAGGUAAACUGGGA
Molecule: unclassified non-coding RNA, 212 nt
Filed under: Hevea brasiliensis (rubber tree)
Lineage: Eukaryota; Viridiplantae; Streptophyta; Magnoliopsida; Malpighiales; Euphorbiaceae
Source: RNAcentral